This 497-nucleotide ribosomal RNA is filed under the name uncultured bacterium. RNAcentral describes it as "partial 16S ribosomal RNA". It matches the Rfam family "Bacterial small subunit ribosomal RNA", at positions 28 to 507 of the family's 1533-position model. The record is from RNAcentral.
GAUGAACGCUGGCGGCGUGCCUAAUACAUGCAAGUCGAGCGAACAGAUGAGGAGCUUGCUCCUCUUACGUUAGCGGCGGACGGGUGAGUAACACGUGGAUAACCUACCUAUAAGACUGGGAUAACUUCGGGAAACCGGAUCUAAUACCGGAUAAUAUAUUGAACCGCAUGGUUCAAUAGUGAAAGACGGUUUUGCUGUCACUUAUAGAUGGAUCCGCGCCGCAUUAGCUAGUUGGUAAGGUAACGGCUUACCAAGGCAACGAUGCGUAGCCGACCUGAGAGGGUGAUCAGCCACACUGGAACUGAGACACGGUCCAGACUCCUACGGGAGGCAGCAGUAGGGAAUCUUCCGCAAUGGGCGAAAGCUUGACGGAGCAACGCCGCGUGAGUGAUGAAGGUCUUCGGAUCGUAAAACUCUGUUAUUAGGGAAGAACAAAUGUGUAAGUAACUAUGCACGUCUUGACGGUACCUAAUCAGAAAGCCGCGGCUAACUACGUG